GGAAUUCCAAGGUCACAGCCUGAACCAACACAUGAGCACGUAAGUGCCUGUAGUGGGGGUGUAGGGGGUAGAGCCACCCUUUCUGUCUCAGUGAUGUUUCCAGGAGUGUGUGUGCAGUCUGAGUCUGCGUGAGUUCCCCUUCCCCCACUGUUCUCCUGCGGCGUGAGAGUACAAAUGGGAGAAGGCUGCAUUCCUCAGCUCGCCUCUUUCUCCAAACUGUUGCUGGGAGGGGUGAGUUAAUCCCUCUUUGAUAUCUUUUCCUAUAGCGCCUAUUUCUCAAAUAAAGGCUCUGUCAUCGCCUUUGUUUGCUCUACAUCUUGGUGAGAAAGGCAGGAGCAACAUCACUCCAGCAUGCUCUAGUCCAUGAGGAAAUAUCAUGACACCCUGUGGUGCACUGCUGAACUUUUGGGAACUGGCAAGCCUGAAUCAGAAGUGCUACUGGUCCAUGAAGAUAUGCCUCUAGAAAGAAUAUCAAGUACUGGCCCAACAGAACCGUGGAAAAGACUGCCUAUAAUUGCCUUUAUUGCCUUAACAUUCUGCACUGUGGCGGGUAUUGUACAUGCAUCGUGAAGUACAUUGUAUUUUGAGCCACCAAACUGCAGGAGCUCGCUUCCUACCUGCUCAGUCAUUGGUUCAUGCUGUGAAGGGGUUGGAGUGUAGUGGAAUUCCUAGGUCACAGUCUGAACCAAUGGGUGAGCACAUGAGUGCCUGGAGCGGGGGGGGGGGGGCUAGAGUCACCCCUUCUGUCUCAGGGAUGCUUCUUGGAGCGCGUGUGCAGUCUGAGCCUGUGUGCGUUCCCUUUCCCCCGCCCUUCUGCAGCGCAAGAAUGCGAACAGGAGAAGGCUGCGUUCCUCAGCUCGCCCCUUUUUCCAAACUGUUUUUUGGAGGGCUGAUGAGGUGCCCUUCUAUGUUACAAGGAAUUCCUUUUACAUCACAGUGGUAGAGCUGGUUAAAAACACCAUCUGCUCUCAUAAAUGCCUGGACUGUGUUUAGCCACACUAUUCAAAAACUUGAGAAUAGCUACUGAAAGCUGGAGAUGAACCCUUGAAGUACACUGGAUGACAUCCGAACACAUCCAACAGUUAAGUGAAGGACCAAGUACUAUAAAAAGUCAAGGCAGGAGCAACAUCACUCAAACACGCUUAUGAGGAAACAUCAUGACACCCUGUGACGCACUGCUGAACUUUUGGGGACUGGAGAGCAUGAAUCAGAAGCGCUACUGGUCCUUGAAAAAGAUACGCCUCGAGAAAGAACAUCAAGUACUGGCCCAACAGAACCGUGAAGGGGACUGCCACUGAUUGCCUUUAUUGUUUUGACAUCCCAUAUUGCGGCGGAUGUUGUGUAUGCGUCGCGAUGUGCAUUGUGUCUUGGGCCACCAGGUUGCAGGGGCUCACCCCCUACCUGCUCAGUCAUUGGUUCAUGCUGUGAAGGGGUGGAGUGUAGUGGAAUUCCAGGGUCACAGCCUGAACCAAUGGGUGGGCUCUGUGAGUGUGUGAGUGCGGCGGCGCGGCAGUACGAGCGGGGGAGGGACACAUUCCUCAGCUCGGCUCUGCCUGCGCGCUGCUACCGGGAGGGGUGAGUCGAUUCUUUUUGAUAUCUUUCCCUCGUGUGCCUAUUUCUUAAAUAAAGGCUUUGUCAUUACCUUCAUUUGCUCUACAGCUACAUAUUACCUACAAAAAAUAAUCCACAGAAAGGAGAUCAGUGACUCUUUCCCAUGGCCUGAGGAAGCUCUUGGAAUUAUAUGGACAGAAGUAGAAGAGAGUCACUUCCUUGGCCUGUCCUAUAGCCACAGAGACUCCUGUUGCAUUUUCCAAGCUGCAAACUAAGGACUAAGCAACCUCUGCCCUUCCUGCAGCCAGCACUCCCCUGAUGUAGUCCAGUGUGUGUACAGGGAACCUUGGACAGCUCUUAGCUCUCUCACCCACUGCUCCUUUCUGUACUCAGCCCAAACACAGAAACCAGAUCACACAAGUUUUCAGACCACAGAUCACAUGUUCUAGCUCUUUUGUACAACACAUGUCCAGAGACAGUUUAAUAAUACUUUCAUCAGAGACUUACAGGCACUUACAUAAAUGGUUCAGCUUUCUCAGCUGUAGGCACCAUUUUUGACAGAACUCAUCUUAGUAUAUUCACAUGAAAUACAGAAAUGAGUUGAAGUAUUUGUGUCUUUAAAAUGAGGAGAAGAAAAAGCCAGUCUGAACUCAAAUACCUUGGCUUACCAAUAUCACAUUUUUUUUUUUAACUAUUUACAGACAUUUUAAAAACACUACUUACAUGCCCCAAAAUGAUGCUUUUAAACAUAAUUCCAACUACAGUUAGCUCAAAUUAUCUAAGCUUUUUUUUUCCCCCGAGUAUAGCAAAGUAAUGCCUCUCAAAUUUAAUUUACAUAAUAAUUAAGCUAGAUUUCUCUGAAGACUCAUACAAUAUAAUCCCUAUUUUAUCAAUAAAUAGAUGGUUGUUGCAUAUUUUACAAUUUAUACAGAAUUGUAUGGAAUGUACUAAAGGAUAUUAACUAUGGCAUCACUUACUGACCACAUCAUACAAAUAUCACUUGUGGGUUAGAGCUCAUGAGAUUUUAAGGAGUUUUUAAAAACAUUUAUCAAUAAAUAAACAAAAUACUUUUUAUGGAGUCUGAAAAUUAAGAAAUUGAGAUUGAGGAUGUGGUGCAUCAGGAAUUAUGAUACAGGAUACAAAAUCAUUCUUCCAUUGAAUGCCACUGAUCUGACAGUUUUUUAUAAUGCAGAAAAUAGCUUUUGUACCUGAAACUUGUCAAUGCCAUCAACAGAGACAAGUGAGGCGUUAUCAGAUGGACAUAGCAUGGAAUGCCUUUUCUGUUUAAGGUCUAAGGAUACAGUUUGCACAUGGAAGCCUAUCAGUAAUUGUAGCUGUGGAACUAUUCAUUUCACAGGUUACAUUGGUACUGCUCAAAAUUAUCUCAUCCCAAUGUUUUCCUACAGUCAGUGAAAAUCAUAGCCUGAAACAAUUUAAACCUUUUGAGGGAAACAACAACAAAGUACAACAGAAGAACCCCCCUCUAACCUACCUCAACUCUUUCACCCAUAUGAAUGAGUAGAGUAUUUGCUAUGAGCAUAUUACAGUUCAAAGGAGUUUUUUUCUUCAGAAUUAUCCAUCAUCAACAUUUCACUAAUUUGCACAAUCAUCCUAACUCCAUAAGCAUACUCCUCCUGGUGCAGAGACAAAUUCAGACAAAGGAGAUCACCUUCAAAAACCAUUAAAAAGUUGGGGAGAUGAGUCAACAUUUGUAUAUUUUUGAUCUUUCUAUAAUUUUAGAUUAAAGAGGACUGUUUAUUUCCACACAAAAUUGAGAUCACUGGUCUGACUGGUUUCACAGAGCGUUUCAGAUAAACUACAUUUUCUUUACACUACAUGCUACAGCUUCCUUUGGUGGGGAGAAAAACAGAAUGACAGUAGUGAAGGGAACACAGCCCAUAUUCCAGUCUGAUACAUUACUAAGCCACACUUCCACUGUUUGCAAUAUUAUUAGAAGUGCUGUUUCGCACAGUCACUGGUGCCAGAGGACUCAAAAUCAAAUCUGAAGUCAUUAUAUAAAAAUGAUACUGCAGAACUCAAUUUUAACUUCAUUAAAGUAACAAAAUAGCUGACAAAUGGAGCCAUCCACUCUGAUGUGUCUCAGCUUCAAAUAACGCAUAAAACAAUUGGAAACUCAGCCUUAGGGCUGCUGCUGCUGCUUUAAAGUAGUCAGUAGUACUGACAGAGUUAAAAACACUGAAAUGUAACACUACAGAAUUAAAAAGUUAACAAUAAGUCAUGAACCUAACUAAAAUGCAGGUUGAAGUCAAAAGAACAUGAUUAAGACUACAUGGAACCUUGAGCAGUGUUUGAAAGGGAAAGAUGAAGUCUUUUGUUAGGACAGCACAAAUCAAGGACAGCACAGCGUCCCCAGAAUGAUUACACAGCCCUGAAUGAUUUCAGGAAGUUAUGAAAUAAUUUUAGCAAAGAACAACACACAGCACAUACAUUUAAUAAAUUUUCAUCAACUGGCAAACUAUAACAUUAUCAACCUGUUUUUUCUACCCAUUUAUAAAACUGAUCAAACCCACUUCAGAGCAUGUACAUCCUAAAAUCUGCUGUGGCAUAUAUCUUAUUUCUGCAUCCUGUAACUUUAAUUAUUUUAAACUUGCAUCUAAAUAGCUGAAGACAAAAGCUUCAGAACAUGACUUUCACAGUGUAAAACACUGCUGCUUAUUACAGAGUAAACCAAAUUCAGGUUGUAUUUUCCUCUUCAAUAUCUGAUCUUUUAAACUACUCACGUGCUUUACAAGCUUCAGAUAAACUACAUUUGUUAUUUGUUACCUCUAGAAACAAGAAGUCAAAUAUCUGUCCUUUCUUUGAAAGCUUUUUGUGUACUCCUUAUACAGCAUUGGCCUAUCAAGAAAGUAGUCCAGGCUUGGUUGUAGCAUUGCUUCAACAUCAUCAACAGGAAAAAAAAAAAAAAACCAACACAAAAAGCUCUUUCCUUAUUAAAAUUAAUAACAAUAACUAGCCAUCUCUGGAAAACCACAGGAAUUAGAAAUUUUAAACCAACCAGUUUGACAGCAUCCUCUAAUUUCACUGCCUUCUACACAGGCCAUUCUGACUUCACAACUCAAAUAUAUGUUUAAGGGGAAGAAAAGCACACUUCUAAACUACAAGCAAGAUUUUAAAUUAGUCAAAAGUAUUCAUAUUUUAUUCCUUUCAGUCUAUUUGUACUAUUAAAAAUACCACUGUUCCAAUUUCACAUUAAUCUAAUUUAUACAGACUUAAUAAUUGAUGUAGCACAUUUCCUUUUCAAAUAUUGUUCAUACCCCUGUCCCACAGGCUUUUCAAAAAUAUGCAUAUGGCUUAUAGUUUCCAUAAAGUCACAUGACAUACUUUAAGGAUAUCUCCUAUCAAAAAUUGAGGGCUUACUCCAAAUCUGACAGCUUACUCCAAUCUGACAGGAUCCCAAAAAACACUCCUCUAGGAAGAAUUUAAGCUUAUUAGUACUCUUUUACUAGAUUGUUCAAAAAAAAAAAGUACCUUUUCUGCUCAAGUGUUCAUCUAUUUCUUCUCUCAUGCAACACUUGAAGUCACAGUUCUGUUUAUGAGACUGCAAUCAAUUCUUCAGUAGUCAAUUAGAGUAUCUCAAAGGUGUAGGUUUUGGUGAAUAAUAAAGCAAUCAAUUUGAGCUCCUGCAGUCUUGUUCUUAUUUUAGUAUUUCUGAUAAUUACAAAAUAAAUACUCAGAAAGCCAGUUCCUACAUCAUAUUUUAUUAGUGGGAUCAAAGGCAGACUUCUAACACAAGCACUGCUAGCUGAGUUGUCACUGUAAUACUCACUGCAGAUUAAUCAAGAACAAUUUUACCUGCACCAGUGUUCACUGCAGUUCUAGAACACAAGAGAACUCUGCCAGAAGUUUUGAUUUAUGCUGACUGUUCAGUGGCCUGCUGGGAUUCUUACUCAAGUAAGAAAUAAAAUGAAAAAAUUGUUGCCAAUGAGAAAAAAAAAUACUAUAAUUGCAAUUUUUUUUAAGGUAAUGUUUCAGAAUUUCAAACACAAAAAACACCAAAUAGAUAUUAAGAGAAAUAUUACAGAAACUUCAAAGCUAAUAUAUAAUGGAAACAUAUAUAUUAAUUAGCAUCUAAUUCUUUUCCUUUGGUACUUAAAUCUGCAGCAUUACAGUCAUUUUACCAAAAUCAGAAAUCAGACAUGUUGCUUGGUUUCCAUAACCACUUUCUCUUACUAAUCCAAAAUGUACUCCUGAACCCAUAAGAUAGAGCAUGAUCCUCACAGGUGAAUAUUUAUAGAGAAUAAUGAUGGAAUCUGGUCGCAUUUUGAUAAAAAUUGUGCUGAAAGAGUCGCCUGAUGUUCUCAAUGAAGACAGCAGCAGUACAAUUACCUUGUAGUAACUUCUUUUAACACUAAAAACUGACAUGAAAUUGUCUUCAUGAAAUCCUUUCAUUAUUCCCUGGAACAAUGCUUGAGGCAUUAUGCCUGAUUCUGUCAUUAUCACAGCUCUACAUCUUAUUAAUGUAAACCAGGAGUAGAAAGAGAGAUGGUGAAUGAUAUUAAAAUCUGCCAUUUUGAGAAUAAUGUUCCAAAACAGAUCAAAGUGCUUGGAUGAUGCCUCCCAGUUCUCGCAGCUUUCAGUAUCAGUUUAUAAUGUCACCAACAAUUUCACUGCAUAGAAUCAAAAAAAGGCAGGUCCUCCUGUUCUCCAUUUUGGCUCAUUGAGAAGAUAUAGCUCAUCAGAAUGUUGAACCCGGUCCAUUGUUUCAAUUGCUUUAAAGCAAGAAAAAGAAGCAUCCUUCCUAAAUUAUUCCUCUUUGCCUCAUGCAUUUCGGCUCUGCAUCUCUAACACUAGAAUCCCAAACUAUUUCCUCAUAUUACAUGCAGCCUGGCAGAAGCAAAAAUACAGUUAUUAUUUUCUAUGUAGUUUUCACAACACAAAAGCAUUAAAGCUGCUCUUGUGAAAAGAUAUUCUCAAAAGCAAUUUAGUUUACAGUGCUUUUCUUCCACUUCUUGUCUCCUUUCUACACUUUUUGCAGUUACCCAGCUAAAGAGGAGAACGUGCCAGCUCCAUCUAGUUCAUAGAUUACAGCUAUCCUUUGGAAGCAGAGAGCUUGAAAGGUCAGGUCCAGUAAAAUGGAGGACAGACACUGAACAGCAGAAAAUCCAAGUGAUGAAUACUACUCAGACUACUCCUCUGGCUGAGACAAGCAACCCAUUGUGCCACCGUUUGUGCCUGGGCCACCCCUGUCAUAGGAAGAUCUGAGACCAGAAUCCAAUGGGAGUCUGAACAGAAUUCUGGAGUGGCCACAGGCCCCAGCCAAAGCCAUCCUGAGUGACAUGAACGUCCAAUUCAGCUGGGAGGGUAGAACCAAAUAUACCCGAUGCCUGGGCUUGUUUAACUGCCAGUUUUGCCUGUUGGAAAGCAUCCUUUUCCAUUCUCCACCAGUCCCAUAGUUGCCCCUUUUUCAUGAGUCUGUAUAAUGGUCUCAGCAGCUGUGCUAAAUGAGAUAUAAGGGAACAGCAAUAUCCCAAUAUACCUAAGAACUCCUGCAGCUGUUUUGGUGUUGUAGGGACUGGGAAUGCCUGAACCUUACCUAUGACAGCACUGGUAAUCUUUCCCAACCAAACUACCCCCAGGAUUUUCACAGACAGUCCUGGACCUUGCACCUCUGAGGAUCUAUAGCCCAUCCUCUUUCUUGCAGAUAGGUAGUCAAUGAGUCUGCUGCUUGUCCUACUGCCUCCAGUGAGUCAGAUGUCAACAGGAGAUUAUCAAUAUAAUGAUAUAAGCUAACAUUAUUAGUUUUUUUCCAAUUAGCCAGGUCAUGCGCCAGUAGGUUAUGGCAAUAUGUCGGUAAACACAUGUACCCCUCUGGCAGGACCUGAAAGGUCCACUGCCUGCCUCCCCAUGUAAAUGCAAACUGGUCUUGUGAUUCUUCAGGAACUGGAAUGCUGAAGAAUGCAUUUGCCAAGUCUAGGACGCAAUGGUACUACUCAACGUGUCCAUUAGGAAAGCAAUAUUGGGUACAGCCACAUGAACAGGCAGUGUGACCUUAUUUAAUUCUCUAUAAUCUACUGUCAUUCUCCAUGUUCCAUCUGACUUUCGCGCUGGCCACAAGGGGGAAUUAUACAGGCUACGUGCGGGUCCUACAAUCCCAACUUUUUCUAAUUCCUGCACUGUCCUUGAUAUCUCAUCUUUCUCCCCCCAGAGUCUAUACUGUCUCACAUUAGUAAUCUGGCACAGUUCCAGCAGGUGAAUAGGCUCAUACUUCGCAUGGCCUCUCAAUGUUGCCUGCACCACCCAAACACUAAUGCACCUUUGUUGAAGUCUGACUUCUCCCACAGUUGUCUGGAGAGCCAGACCCCAUAAAAUGUCUAUGCCCAAGGUGUACUCCAGGACCGGAGCAAUAGACAAUUUAUACUCCCAGCGCAGGAGACACCCAAGCCCCUGUUUUGACCAUGUUUGGGUAACUGGAAUGGUCUGUCUCCCAGAGCCACCGAUCAUUACUCUAUCCCCAUUAAAUUUAAUUGGAUCUCCAUAAAUAAUCGAUGCUUCCGCAUCUGUGUCAACCAACGCUAUAACCCUCUGUAUGUUCUUUCAGGACCUAAAAAUUAUCAGCUCAACAUAGGGCCUCUGGUCCCAUCUGGAGGCCCUAGUUACAUGGGGACUGGCAUCCACUGUCACACAAGUAACCUUGCAAUUGUCAAUACUUUUUCCCCAGAUGGCUCGGACAUAGUGGCCUGGGUCACUUGAGGCUUUUUGCUUUUACUGGGAACUAGGAAAUCCUCCAAGUUCUAUGUUGCCAUUGGUAGUUUGUCAAUAGUUCUCACCUCAGGGUUUUUUGGGUGAUUUUGAAAUUUUUGAUUGUCUAUCCACAGCCUCCACAGCUGGAGGAGGACAUGAGCGGGAUGGCAAUCAAUUUUCAUAAAUUGAACCCCAGCUCAGAUUAAGUUGUUAAACAUGUAGCAAUUGAGUAGAUCAGCAUGAUGGGAGGAUCAGCACAACAGAAAGGUGGUAUAAGGGAAGGGAAAAAGAUUACUUACCCAUAUCAGAAGAUUCCAGGUUUGCAGGGGAAAGCUCCACCAGGGAGGGAUCUCCAGAAAUGAAUAGCAGUCUUCCUGAAUGGCAGUCAGCCCUUAAAUGAGGUUUAAGAGGCGCAGCUAGGAUCCACUCCUUCCCAUCACACAGGUGAACUGCCCUCACCUGUGCUCCCAGGUCCUUUCCCCAGGUGAUCACUCAGUGGUUCAGGCCAUGACUUAACAGCUCCCACACACUUAGCUUUUGCUUUUUCUUUUAUUUACAGGCAACAAUCUGGAAAGGGAUAGCAUGAAUUAUUCUUGAAUUAAAUCCUAUUAAAGGAGAGAAAAAACACAGCACAAAGAAAUUCAGGAGGCUAAGCAAAGCCAGGAAAAAAAAAAAAUGAAGAUCAACACUGAAAUAUGAAUUCUGAAGUCAACAAUAUUCAACUACAUGCACUCUGUCCAGGAGAUCUAGAAUUAAGGCAAAUUCAAAGAAAUACAUGAAGAAAACAUUGGUUCCCUGUGUUAUUAACAGCUAUCCAAGGUCACUGAUCAAAUCACACAAUAGUUCAGAAAUGUAUAAAAAUGCAUUUGCAGGAGCCAAAUUUGCAGGUUGAGAAUCUGCAUUCUACACUGUGGCCUUUUUGUCAUGGAGAUAACCAACUUUUCUAAGCAUUUCUAAAAACUUCUGACUUCAUUCCCUUUGAAUAACAGGAAAUAUCUAUACACAUGAAAAGCAAUGUCCUGCCAUGAUUUAAGAACUAGAAGAGAAAUACAUACACACACACAUAUAUACAUUCUUCCUAUAUUCUAUAUAUAUUCUUAAACUUUCCUGCUUCUCCAAAUCAAGCAAAAAUUCAUUCUACCAUAAAGCAGAUAUUCACACGAGAGAGAUAUUUCACUAUACAGAAGUACAACAUUUAACCCACUAUUUUUCUCCACCUUCCUCCUUUGGUGUUAGCAGUAACACUUCAGGAGAACAUUUUUAGGAAAAAUACUUGUUAAUUAAAAAAAAUAACCUCCAACUUCAUUUUAAUGCUCAGCAUCUGUUGUUUUGGGAAAUUCUGUACAAAGCUACAUAAUAUUACACAGAAUCACAAAUGAAAUUAACCAAAGGAUGGCUCGAUGUGAAACACAUCUUUAGAAAGCAUGCUAAUUCCACACCAAUAACUAAUAAUGAUUGACAUAAAAGGAGUAAACAAGAACAAGGUUGAAAACACAAGGUUCCUUUAUAGUAUCAUAGCCAUCAAGUUUAAGGCAAUUCAUAACUUUGUUUUUAUUUUUUAAAUAAUUGGAUACUUGGUUGCAUAUCUUCCUCCUUUUAAGUCUAAAGCAUUCUUAGCAAGAAGGCAAAGUUUUUAGUGGAUGUCAUACUUAUUACCUAGUGCUCCUGACACUUUGCUUACUAAUGACUAUUGCACAGAACAAGCAAACCAAUAUUAUGAAUGAAUGCUAUUCUUCACUGGUUCACUGCUUCCAGCUGGGAUGGAGUUAACUUCCUUCACAGUUGUCUAUACAGUGCUGCAUUUUGAAACUGUGAUUAUAUCAGUGCUGAUAACACACCAGUGUUUUGGCCAUUGCUGAGAAGUACUUGCACAGCAUACUGCUUUUUCUUUUUCUCUUCUCUGCCUCCCUCAGAGAGUAAGCUGAAGGUGCACCAGAAAUUGACUUGAGAUAUUCCAAUCCAAAUGGCAUUAUGCUCAGCUACACAAGAUCAUGGAAAGAAGAAGGAACAUUUAUUGUUUUCAUCCUUUCAAGUAACCAUUACACAUGCUGAAAUCCUUCUUUCCAGGAGGUGGCUAAACAUCUGCCUAGCAAUGACAAAUAGUGAAUAAAUUCCUUUAUUUUGCUCUGCUUGCACACAUGACUUCGCUUAAUUUAUUAAACUUGUUUAAAUGAUGAAGACCUUGACCUAUGAGUUUUCAGCUUUCUUAUUCUCUCCUCCAUCUCACUGUGGAGGGAGCUAGCAAGCAACUGCGUGGGUUCUGAGCUGUUAGCAAGAGGGAACACACCAUACAUGACCAUGCUCAAACACAACUGUUUUUGCAAUUACACUCCAUAUAGUUCUUUUUACUUUGGGGAAUUUUGAAUAAAGAAGACAGAUCUUGAUAUUUGAUUCCGUUUUGUCUAAUAUACUCGUAGCAGUUUAAAGGGGACGGAAGAUCCAAUUUAGAAUCAAAAAAUGCAGUCAUUCAUAAUUCAAGAACUUUAUUUAUGAAAGAAAUUUAUGAAAAACUUCAGGCAAAUAAAUGUAGGUACACUAAAAAUUAGAUUCAAGAUUGCCAAGCUGCAACCUAAAGCUUGUCUUUUGUGUAUGAAGAAUACUAUAUAAAUUAGUAAAAUAAUUACUAAUAUGUAUAAAAAUAUUAUGGGAACUACCCUUACUGACUGUGUGUCAUGGUUUUACGAUUUUUGGUUACUGGUAUUCUAUAUCAUAACAUAAUGUAGUGCAUUGGGAGUUAAAGUAUUAAUUCUGCAGUUCUGGGUACCUGUCCGGAAGAGAAGAAGAGCUACAUACCCCAGGGGGCUUUGCAGUCAGAGAGGAGAUAUAACCUCUGGCAAGGUCACCUGAUGCCUCCCUUUUCGAUCGUCAGCCUCUCCUCACUACUACUUGUCCUGACUGCAUGCAUCGCCUCAGCACUACCAUAAGGCCUACAGUUUUCAGAUAAUCUUUCUCUCAUUAUAUUUAUUAGCUUCAAUUCAAAUUAUAUUGUAUUAUAGUGUGUUAUCUUUCAUUCCGAUACUGUAUUUAGUAAAUUAGUUUGUUUC
This 11297-nucleotide long non-coding RNA is filed under the name Gallus gallus (chicken). RNAcentral describes it as "lncRNA (ENSGALG00010009589.1)". The record is from RNAcentral. Lineage: Eukaryota; Metazoa; Chordata; Aves; Galliformes; Phasianidae.